GAUGAACGCUGGCGGCGUGCUUAACACAUGCAAGUCGAACGGGAAACCUUUUAUUGAAGCUUCGGCAGAUUUAGCUGGUUUCUAGUGGCGGACGGGUGAGUAACGCGUGGGUAACCUGCCUUAUACAGGGGGAUAACAACCAGAAAUGGUUGCUAAUACCGCAUAAGCGCACAGGACCGCAUGGUCCGGUGUGAAAAACUCCGGUGGUAUAAGAUGGACCCGCGUUGGAUUAGCUAGUUGGCAGGGUAACGGCCUACCAAGGCGACGAUCCAUAGCCGGCCUGAGAGGGUGAGCGGCCACAUUGGGACUGGGACACGGCCCAGACUCCUACGGGAUGCAGGAGUGGGGAAUAUUGCACAAUGGGGGAAACCCUGAUGCAGCGACGCCGCGUGAAGGAAGAAGUAUCUCGGUAUGUAAACUUCUAUCAGCAGGGAAGAUAGUGACGGUACCUGACUAAGAAGCCCCGGCUAACUACGUG
RNAcentral lists this ribosomal RNA (478 nucleotides) under uncultured bacterium. Its description in RNAcentral is "partial 16S ribosomal RNA". It matches the Rfam family "Bacterial small subunit ribosomal RNA", at positions 28 to 507 of the family's 1533-position model. The record is from RNAcentral.